RNAcentral lists this transfer RNA (72 nucleotides) under Camelus bactrianus (Bactrian camel). It matches the Rfam family "tRNA". From Rfam's summary of the family: Transfer RNA (tRNA) molecules are approximately 80 nucleotides in length. Their secondary structure includes four short double-helical elements and three loops (D, anti-codon, and T loops). RNAcentral also lists the same sequence under 1 other name. Lineage: Eukaryota; Metazoa; Chordata; Mammalia; Artiodactyla; Camelidae. The record is from Rfam by way of RNAcentral.
GAGGGUAUAGCUCAGCGGCAGAGUGUGUGCUUAGCAUGCACGAGGUCCUGGGUUCAAUCCCCAGCACCUCUA